GAUAACUCAGCAACACAACAAAAAAUUCUACACGGGUGAUGUUAAAUAUAAAAAUGUUUAAACACCGUUCUUUAACAGUUUAAGUUUUUAGAGUACAACGGUUGUUUCACAUGGUAUCAGAGCAGGAGGUCCUGAGUUCGAGUCACGCCAGGCUCCUAGCAUAUUAAUUUUCUCCCAUUUAAUUCAAACCCACGUCAUGGGCCGACUAAAAAGUCUCGAGCCCAGACGUGAGGGGGAGUGUUAAAUAUAAAAUUAUAUAAACACCGUUCUCUAACAGUUUAAACUUUUAGAGUAAAACAUAUAACAAAACAAAUUAAAAGAGAAAAGAAGACCAGCUAUAAACUAAGUAGAAACGAUAAUUAAAAUUAAUUAAUACAACUAAUAUAAGCCGAUACGGUGUGUAUGCAUGUCUAAGCCAUAUAUAUAUAUAUAUAUAUACUAGUUAUAGUGCACGUGCAUUGCACGUAACAUU
Molecule: long non-coding RNA, 472 nt
Filed under: Ananas comosus (pineapple)
Lineage: Eukaryota; Viridiplantae; Streptophyta; Magnoliopsida; Poales; Bromeliaceae
Description: long non-coding RNA (ACOM_LNC002877)
Source: RNAcentral